GUUCUACUGCAACGUUGGUGACUGCCAAUAAUGUUUUAUGAUCUAUGCUUUUUGAAUAAGGGAGCCGAAGAGUUCCAGUGGCAGUAGACCGGGCUUGUACUCGGAAACUUUAAACUGGGCGAGUAGUUCCCACCUGGUUUAUACCAGGUCAAAAACUGAGGUAAGACGGCGUUGCGGGGAACU
Molecule: non-coding RNA, 183 nt
Filed under: Cyanobacteria bacterium FACHB-502
Lineage: Bacteria; Bacillati; Cyanobacteriota
Also listed under: 3 other names
Description: 6S / SsrS RNA
Rfam family: 6S / SsrS RNA
About the family: E. coli 6S RNA was the first non coding RNA to be sequenced, but its function was unknown until recently. It consists of 184 nucleotides that fold into an extended hairpin structure with a large single-stranded internal bulge.
Source: Rfam by way of RNAcentral